GACACUGCGCCGGAUGAACGGAUAACUCUGAUGACGUUAAAUAUGGGUAACUCCCUGUGUCU
This 62-nucleotide transfer RNA is filed under the name Tubifex tubifex (sludge worm). RNAcentral's name for it is "tRNA-Ile". The record is from RNAcentral. Lineage: Eukaryota; Metazoa; Annelida; Clitellata; Tubificida; Naididae.